GGGAGCUUAGAUGUGGAAGCUCUUUGGAAACCAAGAAACACUCUGAAAAUGAAAAGGAUACCAACUUCAUCUCUCUUUAAGAAUACAAUAUUAGUUUAAAAGAUUGUUCAACUUAAAGCAAUCUUGUAGAGAUUGUCACCCAUGAUUGAUGCUGGCAUAAGAAUGUUUAUCACAGCAUGGCAUAUAUUGGAAGUUUAGUAAAUGAAGAUACAUCCAAUCUGACAUUCUAUUCACAACCACAAAGAGAUAAUGUAGAAACAUAUUUAGUAAUGUGAGAAAAUACUAAAUAUUAAGUGAAAAAGGUGGAAGAGUAAACUGUUCCUGUUUCUCCAUCUUGACAGGAAGCAGAAGUUCUCCUUAGCUGAUUUUUCUUCUUGCCUUAUACUGGGUUCUUUAACACCAGAACAAAAAUAAAUAAAUAAAAGAAUCUUCCAGAAAUUCAUGAAGAGACUUCAGGUCAGGAAAGCCUGAACUUUCUCAUCCAACACCCGUUCAAGUCGGAGGAUGCUGAUUAAUUCAUGAUGGAAAGGUAUCAAUUUCACAGCCCAGACCUCUACAUUCUUGAAAUGCUCUUCUCAUGGGAGACAUUAAAUAAGCUUUGAAUUAACUUGCCAUGACACCCAGGAUGCAGCUGUAGGAACACCACUGGGUCCCUGGAUGUCAUGUAAGCCCUUAAGUAAAAGUGCCAUCAAAUGAUUUCUCAGAAAUUAUAAAGAAACAAAAGGACCAUAAACAAGAUAAGGUGGCAUGAGGAAACAUUACAAGUACCUUUCAGAGCUGACUGGCAAAGAAACUCCUGAGGUGACGG
RNAcentral lists this long non-coding RNA (808 nucleotides) under Homo sapiens (human). RNAcentral's name for it is "SATB1 antisense RNA 1". Lineage: Eukaryota; Metazoa; Chordata; Mammalia; Primates; Hominidae. The record is from RNAcentral.